CCUACGGGAGGCAGCAGUGGGGUAUAUUGCACAAUGGGGGAAACCCUGAUGCAGCGACGCCGCGUGAGUGAAGAAGUAUUUCGGUAUGUAAAGCUCUAUCAGCAGGGAAGAAAAAAGACGGUACCUGACUAAGACGCCCCUGCUCACUACGUGCCAGCAGCCGCGGUCAUACGUAGGGGGCAAGCUUUAUCCGGAUUUACUGGGUGUAAAGGGAUCGUAGACGGCAAUACAAGACGGAAGUGAAAUAUCCGGGCUCAACAUGGGAACUGCUUUGGAAACUGGAUGGCUAGAGUGCUGGAGAGGUAAGCGGAAUUCCUAGGGUAGCGGUGAAAUGCGUAGAUAUUAGGAGGAACACCAGUGGCGAAGGCGGCUUACUGGACAGUAACUGACGUUGAGGCUCGAAAGCGUGGGGAGCAAACAGGAUUAGAUACCCUUGUAGUC
Molecule: ribosomal RNA, 441 nt
Filed under: uncultured bacterium
Lineage: Bacteria
Description: partial 16S ribosomal RNA
Rfam family: Bacterial small subunit ribosomal RNA
Source: RNAcentral